CUUGUUCUGGAUAAGCGCCAAUGAUGUUAUGCUCCCAAGAAAAGCUCGUAAACCUCUCUUUUGAGAAAAACAUAAAAAUUACCUGUACCUGAAACCGACACAGGUAGGUUGGUAGAGAAUACCAAGGGGCGCGAGAGAACUCUCUCUAAGGAACUCGGCAAACUAGCCCCGUAACUUCGGGAGAAGGGGCGCCCUUUGAAAGAAGGGUCGCAGUGACGAGGUUCUGGCAACUGUUUAUCAAAAACACAGGUCUCCGCAAAGUCGUAAGACAAUAUAUGGGGGCUGACGCCUGCCCAGUGCCGGAAGGUCAAGGAAGUUGGUUAGAAAUUUUUCGAAGCUGACGACCGAAGCCCCGGUGAACGGCGGCUGUAACCAUGACAGUCCUAAGGUAGCGAAAUUCAUUGUCGAGUAAGUUUCGACCUGCACGAAAGGCGUAAUGAUCAGAACGCUGUCUCAGAGAGAGGCUCGGUGAAAUAGACUUGUCCGUGAAGAUGCGGACUACUAAUACUUGGACAGAAAGACCCUAUGAAGCUUGACUGUAUCCUGGAAUUGGGUUCGGGCUUUUCUUGCGCAGUCUAGGUGGGAGGCUAUGAAGAUUUCCUUCCGGGGAAGUUGGAGCCAGCAGUGAGAGACCACUCUGGAGAGGCUAGAAUCCUAAUGGUGAUCCUUGAAUCAGGACACUUGACAGUUUCAGUUGGGCAGUUUUUCUGGGGCGGAAGCCUCAUAAAAGGUAACAGAGGCGCGCAAAGGUUCCCUCAGUCUGGACGGAAAUCAGACAGCGAGUGUAAAGGCAAAAGGGAGCUUGACUGCAAGACCUACAAGUCGAGCAGGAGCGAAAGCUGGCCUUAGUGAUCCGACGGUGCCGUGUGGAAGGGCCGUCGCUCAACGAAUAAAAGUUACUCUAAGGAUAACAGGCUGAUCUUCUCCAAGAGUUCACAUCGACGAGAAGGUUUGGCACCUCGAUGUCGGCUCAUCACAUCCUGGGGCUGGAGUAGGUCCCAAGGGUUGGGCUGUUCGCCCAUUAAAGUGGUACGUGAGCUGGGUUCAGAACGUCGUAAGACAGUUCGGUCCAUAUCCGGUAUUAGCGUUAGAAUAUUGAGGUCAGUCACUCAUAGUACGAGAGGACCUGUAGUGAACAUGCCAAUGGUGUACCUGUUAUUUUUCCAAAAGUAAACGCAGGGUAGCCACGCAUGGAGUGAAUAAGUACUGAAUGCAUCAGAGUACGAAGUCCAGACCAAGAUGAGUAUUCUCCAUGAAGCCGCAGCAAGACAAGCUGUUGUAUAGGUAUCAAGUGGAAGGCCAGUAAUGGUUUGAGCUGAGAUAUACUAAAGGCUCACCC
RNAcentral lists this ribosomal RNA (1339 nucleotides) under metagenome. Its description in RNAcentral is "bacterial LSU rRNA". It matches the Rfam family "Bacterial large subunit ribosomal RNA", at positions 1547 to 2912 of the family's 2925-position model. The record is from RNAcentral.